RNAcentral lists this ribosomal RNA (564 nucleotides) under Chaetomiaceae sp. BESC803i. RNAcentral describes it as "eukaryotic LSU rRNA". It matches the Rfam family "Eukaryotic large subunit ribosomal RNA", at positions 1 to 579 of the family's 3401-position model. The record is from RNAcentral. Lineage: Eukaryota; Fungi; Ascomycota; Sordariomycetes; Sordariales; Chaetomiaceae.
ACCUCGGAUCAGGUAGGAAGACCCGCUGAACUUAAGCAUAUCAAUAAGCGGAGGAAAAGAAACCAACAGGGAUUGCCCUAGUAACGGCGAGUGAAGCGGCAACAGCUCAAAUUUGAAAUCUGGCUUCGGCCCGAGUUGUAAUUUGCAGAGGAAGCUUUAGGCGCGGCACCAUCUGAGUCCCCUGGAACGGGGCGCCAUAGAGGGUGAGAGCCCCGUAUAGAUGGACGCCUAGCCUGUGUAAAGCUCCUUCGACGAGUCGAGUAGUUUGGGAAUGCUGCUCAAAAUGGGAGGUAAAUUUCUUCUAAAGCUAAAUAUUGGCCAGAGACCGAUAGCGCACAAGUAGAGUGAUCGAAAGAUGAAAAGCACUUUGAAAAGAGGGUUAAAUAGCACGUGAAAUUGUUGAAAGGGAAGCGCUUGUGACCAGACUUGCGCCGGGCGGAUCAUCCGGUGUUCUCACCGGUGCACUCCGCCCGGCUCAGGCCAGCAUCGGUUCUCGCGGGGGGAUAAAGGCCCUGGGAAUGUAGCUCCUCCGGGAGUGUUAUAGCCCGGGGCGUAAUGCCCUCG